Molecule: long non-coding RNA, 642 nt
Filed under: Homo sapiens (human)
Lineage: Eukaryota; Metazoa; Chordata; Mammalia; Primates; Hominidae
Description: HSALNT0309120
Source: RNAcentral
CUGGGAGGCAGGGUGGUGAAGGAGCUAAGUAAAUGGGCUCUGGGAUCACACCACCUGGGUCCAUUUUGAGCUCUGCCUGUUAGGUCGGGGUAGGUUCAACCCCUGUAGCACAAACACCAGAUGCAUCCUGGGAAAUACUGUUCUCUUUAAAACUGCAGGAGUGGCCCCCGUUGAGAUGGAGGUUGAACAAGCAUUUCCCUAGAGUCCUGUGGUCCAUAGCAUUGUCUGCUAAGAUGCUGGGCUGUCCUGGAGCUGCGGCUGGAGUCAGGUUCAAAUGCAGCACCCGGCAGCACACUACACAGAGACGGUGUCUCACUCUGUCAGCCCAGGCUGGAGUGAAGUGGCGCAAUCUUGGCUCACUGCAGCCUCCGUCUCCUGAAUUCAAGCAAUUCUCCUGCCUCAGCCUCCCAAGAAGCUCAGAUUACAGGUGAGGACACCAUGUUCCUCUACUGUUGUGGAUGCAGCCCUCACCAGACGACCGAACCUGCCAGUGCCUUGUUCUUGGACUUCCUAGCCUUCAGAACUACUGUUUGACCUCUGGUAACUAAAACUGCAGAAGGCAAAACUGGAUAAGGAGACUACUGUAAUGAUUAUGCUAUUACAAGACGCUCGAUUGCUAACAUCAGACAUUUUUAUAAAAGG